This 325-nucleotide ribosomal RNA is filed under the name uncultured eukaryote. RNAcentral describes it as "partial 18S ribosomal RNA". It matches the Rfam family "Eukaryotic small subunit ribosomal RNA", at positions 1470 to 1796 of the family's 1831-position model. The record is from RNAcentral.
CCCUUAGAUGUUCUGGGCCGCACGCGCGCUACACUGAUGCAUUCAACGAGCCUAUCCUUGACCGACAGGUCCGGGUAAUCUUUGAAUCUGCAUCGUGACGGGGAUAGAUUAUUGCAAUUAUUAAUCUUCAACGAGGAAUGCCUAGUAGGCGCAAGUCAUCAGCUUGCGUCGAUUACGUCCCUGCCCUUUGUACACACCGCCCAUCACUCCUACCGAUUGGGUGUGCUGGUGAAAUGUUCGGAUCGGCCGUUUGUCGCGGUUUCCGCGUCAUGUGGCUGAGAAGUUCAUUAAACCCUCCCACCUAGAGGAAGGAGAAGUCGUAACA